RNAcentral lists this non-coding RNA (32 nucleotides) under Mus musculus (house mouse). Lineage: Eukaryota; Metazoa; Chordata; Mammalia; Rodentia; Muridae. The record is from RNAcentral.
UAAGGUCGCUAUUUCACACUUAGAAGAUGGUU